RNAcentral lists this long non-coding RNA (598 nucleotides) under Homo sapiens (human). RNAcentral describes it as "HSALNT0392904". Lineage: Eukaryota; Metazoa; Chordata; Mammalia; Primates; Hominidae. The record is from RNAcentral.
GAGCCGCCCUCACGCCGAGCGCUGCGGACGGGGGCGCGCAACCUGCCGCCGGCCGGGACCCUGCGGCGAGUGCCGGAACCCGGCCGGGCGGGGCCUCCCGCGGCCCGGCCGCUUUAUUGGGUCACCGGCCUCGCCCACCGCCCUGCCAGCCGCAGCCAUCUCGGCGGGCGCGCCGCUCGCAGCCAGCGCCCCAUCCCCAGGCCUGCACCUCGUGGAUGGCAGAGCUGUGUGUUGUCCGUGGUCAGACACACAGGAAGUCUGAAUUGUUAUCCUGUUCUGCCACUGAAAUGUGUAAAAUAUAGGGGGAGUGUCCCAAGUCAUUUUCCUAAAAGCAUCAUCCAACUAUGAGCUGAACACUGCCCCGAGAAUGCAACAGAACUUCAGCUCUGUCCCAAGGUCGUCAGCCACAGCUCCAAGUUUCUUAGCAUCAGCUUUUUCUGAACAAAAUAGUGCAUCCUGCUGGAAUCACUACUGUAAACUGAGUAUAAAGGAAAAUAAACCCUCUUUUUCUUAUCCACUAUGUUCCCUACUCCCGUGCUUUUCCCAGUGCUCCAGGAAAAAAAUGAAGAAGAAGAGGAGAAAGAAUAAGAGGAUGAAG